RNAcentral lists this ribosomal RNA (461 nucleotides) under uncultured bacterium. RNAcentral describes it as "bacterial SSU rRNA". It matches the Rfam family "Bacterial small subunit ribosomal RNA", at positions 331 to 793 of the family's 1533-position model. The record is from RNAcentral.
CCAGACUCCUACGGGAGGCAGCAGUGGGGAAUAUUGCACAAUGGGGGGAACCCUGAUGCAGCGACGCCGCGUGGGUGAAGGAGCACCUCGGUGCGUAAAGCCCUAUCGGCAGGGAAGAAAAGCGAACAGGUUCGCCUGGACGGUACCUGACUAAGAAGCCCCGGCUAACUACGUGCCAGCAGCCGCGGGAAUACGUAGGGGGCAAGCGUUAUCCGGAUUUACUGGGUGUGAAGGGAGCGCAGACGGCAGUGCAAGUCUGGAGGGAAAGCCCGGGGCCCAACCCCGGAACUGCUCUGGAAACUGUGCGGCUAGAGUGCUGGAGGGGCAGGCGGAAUUCCUGGGGUAGCGGUGAAAUGCGUAGAUAUCAGGAGGAACACCGGUGGCGAAGGCGGCCUGCUGGACUGCAACUGACGUUGAGGCCCGAAAGCGUGGGGAGCAAACAGGAUUAGAUACCCCCGUAA